RNAcentral lists this ribosomal RNA (413 nucleotides) under uncultured bacterium. RNAcentral describes it as "bacterial SSU rRNA". It matches the Rfam family "Bacterial small subunit ribosomal RNA", at positions 917 to 1333 of the family's 1533-position model. The record is from RNAcentral.
GGGCCCGCACAAGCGGUGGAGCAUGUGGUUUAAUUCGAUGAUACGCGAGGAACCUUACCAGGGCUUAAAUGUAGUGGGACAGGUCUAGAGAUAGACCCUUCUUCGGACUCAUUACAAGGUGCUGCAUGGUUGUCGUCAGCUCGUGCCGUGAGGUGUCAGGUUAAGUCCUAUAACGAGCGCAACCCCUAUCGUUAGUUGCCAGCGAGUAAUGUCGGGAACUCUAACGAAACUGCCGGUGCAAACCGAGAGGAAGGUGGGGAUGACGUCAAAUCAUCACGGCCCUUACGUCCUGGGCUACACACGUGCUACAAUGGCCGGUACAGAGAGCAGCCACUACGCGAGUAGGAGCGAAUCUUCAAAGCCGAUCACAGUUCGGAUCGGAGUCUGCAACUCGACUCCGUGAAGCUGGAAUC